UUCUUGGUAGUCGAUGUUCGUGGGACACGU
RNAcentral lists this non-coding RNA (30 nucleotides) under Bombyx mori (domestic silkworm). Lineage: Eukaryota; Metazoa; Arthropoda; Insecta; Lepidoptera; Bombycidae. The record is from RNAcentral.